CAAUGGAACUUGACGAAGAGAACUUUUCCAGAUUUGGAAACAAGAGUGUAGGUGUGGACACCGAAACCUUCCAUGUGCCUGUAAUCUUGUGGAAUACCAACAUCAUCAAACAUCCAGCACCAUGUGAGCAAACUCUCCGGUAAAUGGGACAUGUAGUCCAAUAUCCUCCAGUACUCCUGGAUGUUGGUUUUGGGGUUCGGUUUCAACGCGUGGACCACAUCUGGGAAUUGAAUCCCGUCGCGGAUGAAGAACACCGGAGUGUUGUUACCAACAAGAUCAAAGUUCCCCUGAGUUUAUAACAAAGCAGCAGCAGCAAGACACACGUUCAGUAUACUGAUUCUCAAGAAGCCAGAGGAGAUCAACAAUGGAAAAAGGUAAUCUUUUAGCACACUAUACCUCUCUGGUGUAGAACUUAACGGCGAAACCACGAAUAUCCCUCAUGGUUUCAGGGCUGGCACGCUCGUGAACGACGGUGGAGAAACGGACGAUAACGGGAGUUUGAACACCAGGUGCUCGGAGAAAAUCAGCACAGGUGAGGUUUGAAAUGUCAUGGGUGACCUCAAAGAAACCCUUGGCACUGAUUCCUCUGGCAUGAACCACUCUCUCAGGAAUCCUUUCUCUGGUGAAAUUCGCAACUUUCUCGAUCAGAUGGUAGUCUUCGAGAAGAACCGGACCUGCC
RNAcentral lists this long non-coding RNA (679 nucleotides) under Eutrema salsugineum. RNAcentral's name for it is "long non-coding RNA (ESAL_LNC000611)". The record is from RNAcentral. Lineage: Eukaryota; Viridiplantae; Streptophyta; Magnoliopsida; Brassicales; Brassicaceae.